RNAcentral lists this ribosomal RNA (464 nucleotides) under uncultured bacterium. Its description in RNAcentral is "partial 16S ribosomal RNA". It matches the Rfam family "Bacterial small subunit ribosomal RNA", at positions 28 to 507 of the family's 1533-position model. The record is from RNAcentral.
GACGAACGCUGGCGGCGUGCUUAACACAUGCAAGUCGAACGGAAAGGCCCUGCUUGCAGGGUACUCGAGUGGCGAACGGGUGAGUAACACGUGGGUGAUCUGCCCUGCACUUCGGGAUAAGCCUGGGAAACUGGGUCUAAUACCGGAUAGGAGCCAUUUUUAGUGUGAUGGUUGGAAAGUUUUUUCGGUGUAGGAUGAGCUCGCGGCCUAUCAGCUUGUUGGUGGGGUAAUGGCCUACCAAGGCGGCGACGGGUAGCCGGCCUGGGAGGGUGGACGGCCAAAUUGGGACUGAGAUAGGGCCCAGACUCCUACGGGAGGAAGAAGUGGGGAAUAUUGCACAAUGGGCGAAAGCCUGAUGCACCAACGCGGCGUGGGGGAUGACGGCCUUCGGGUUGUAACCCCCUUUCGCAGGGGACGAAGCUUUUGGGACGGGUACUAGAAAAGAAGCACCGGCUAACUACGUG